Molecule: transfer RNA, 66 nt
Filed under: Cryptotympana atrata
Lineage: Eukaryota; Metazoa; Arthropoda; Insecta; Hemiptera; Cicadidae
Description: tRNA-Ser
Source: RNAcentral
AGUUAAUUAGCUUUAUCAAGUAUAUAUUUUGAAAAUAUAUGAAAGGAUUAAUAAUCCUAUUAACUU